GAGGAAAUAAAACACAAACAAGAACAGACGCUUAAGAAAUGCCUACAUUUAGAAGUUGUUGGAAAAAAUUCCAGACAAAGGCAAAGAUGGCAAAUUAAAAUCAACACGAUUCAACCUCGAAAGAGAAAGGACUGUGAAGGAGUUCUGUGUAACAAAAUCAAAUGCUGCAAAGAAAGUUUUGUAAGUGGUUUAAAAUGACAAGAUAAAAGAUUGUAAAUCGGUGGAACCCACUGGAAAGUAGGCAAAAAGAGUUUAACCUACUGGAAAGCAAGAGCUGUCAGAAUCCCAGGGUCCACUUUUGAAUGAAAUCUGACUGCAGAAAGGAAGAAAAGAAAAUGUUCAAUAAUAUUAAGACGUGGGAAGUAGGCAAAAAGGAAACAUAAUUUAAAAGCAAACACUUUAAUGGCUUGCAAUGGUACAACUUCCUUAAAUUCAGUAAAAGUUCAAUAAAUAUAUGUCAAUGGUC
RNAcentral lists this long non-coding RNA (466 nucleotides) under Homo sapiens (human). RNAcentral's name for it is "non-protein coding lnc-HPGD-3:1". The record is from RNAcentral. Lineage: Eukaryota; Metazoa; Chordata; Mammalia; Primates; Hominidae.